This 772-nucleotide long non-coding RNA is filed under the name Rattus norvegicus (Norway rat). RNAcentral's name for it is "long non-coding RNA NONRATT010225". The record is from RNAcentral. Lineage: Eukaryota; Metazoa; Chordata; Mammalia; Rodentia; Muridae.
UUUUCUUGACUUUUCACUUUUACAGCAUUCAUGUGUCUGGGUACAAUAAAUGCUCUAGAUGCAAGUUCAAACAUACAGGUUCUGUUCACACACACUCCUCACCUUGUUAUGGGAUACAUCACCCAAGGUUCUGAUGUUCACAGGAAGUUCUGAUCAAUGGCAGGCCCUUCAUGAACACUGAGGGAUGACUGUCUCUCUUCUUCACUGUAUUAACUACAUAUCCCAUGACAUUAUCAAUAUCCACUUCCCUGACCCACGAUGGAAAUGCUGUAAGCUCUUCCAUGGCAGAGCCCUACCCUCUCCCUCUGCUGUUUUCCUGAGCCUAUGCUUGGCCUGUCAGACAGGGUCAGUGAAAGGACAGGCUCACAGAUCUCCUCAGACUGCCUCAUUUGGAAGGCACUCUUUGCAAUACCUGCCCAUCACCUUUCACAGUGAUUCCUGUUAAAAACUGUCUUCUGUCAUCUCAGGACCCUCACCCUUUCAUCCAGACCCCUGUCACUAUGCCUCUCCACCUUUGUCACUAAGUGCAUAUGGAAAAGGAAGUCAGGAGAGGUUGAGAGACUGGCUCAGCUCAUGAAUGGCAGAGUUGGAUUGCACCACUGGCUUAAGGUUCCUUCCACUGGGCUGUGCUUCUUCUUAGUUGAUUGUUCCUCAGAGCAGCAGCUGUGAAGAUUUUCCACUUUGGUAAUGGACCAUGACUUCUCUUCAGAGAUGCUGGCUGAGGAGCAAAGAGGAGAGACAUCUUGUCCCCAGAAGAUGCUUUUAACUUCGC